AGAUUAAGUUAUUAAGGGCGCACGGUGGAUGCCUUGGCACUAGAAGCCGAAGAAGGACGUUACUAACGACGAUAUGCUUUGGGGAGCUGUAAGUACGCUUUGAUCCAGAGAUUUCCGAAUGGGGAAACCCAGCAUGAGUUAUGUCAUGUUAUCCGCAUAUGAAUACAUAGUAUGUGAGAAGGCACACCCGGAGAACUGAAACAUCUUAGUACCCGGAGGAAGAGAAAGAAAACUCGAUUCCCUGAGUAGCGGCGAGCGAAACGGGAAGAGCCCAAACCAAUAGGCUUGCCUAUUGGGGUUGUAGGACACUCAAUACGGAGUUACAAAGGAAAUGAUUAGACGAAUGGUUUUGGAAAAGCCAACCAUAGAAGGUAAAGGUCCUGUAGUCGAAAGUCAUUUCUCUCCUGAGUGGAUCCUGAGUACGGCGGAACACGUGAAAUUCCGUCGGAAUCUGGGAGGACCAUCUCCCAAGGCUAAAUACUCUCUAGUGACCGAUAGUGAACCAGUACCGUGAGGGAAAGGUGAAAAGCACCCCGGAAGGGGAGUGAAAUAGAACCUGAAACCGUGUGCUUACAAAUAGUCAGAGCCCGUUAAUGGGUGAUGGCGUGCCUUUUGUAGAAUGAACCGGCGAGUUACGAUUUGAUGCAAGGUUAAGCAGUAAAUGUGGAGCCGUAGCGAAAGCGAGUCUGAAUAGGGCGAAUGAGUAUCUGGUCGUAGACCCGAAACCAAGUGAUCUACCCAUGUCCAGGUUGAAGUUCAGGUAACACUGAAUGGAGGACCGAACCGACUUACGUUGAAAAGUGAGCGGAUGAGGUGUGGGUAGCGGAGAAAUUCCAAUCGAACUUGGAGAUAGCUGGUUCUCUCCGAAAUAGCUUUAGGGCUAGCCUCAAGUGAUGAUUAUUGGAGGUAGAGCACUGUUUGGACGAGGGGCCCCUCUCGGGUUACCGAAUUCAGACAAACUCCGAAUGCCAAAUAAUUUAACUUGGGAGUCAGACUAUGGGUGAUAAGGUCCGUAGUCGAAAGGGAAACAGCCCAGACCACCAGCUAAGGUCCCAAAAUAUAUGUUAAGUGGAAAAGGAUGUGGCGUUGCCCAGACAACUAGGAUGUUGGCUUAGAAGCAGCCAUCAUUUAAAGAGUGCGUAAUAGCUCACUAGUCGAGUGACACUGCGCCGAAAAUGUACCGGGGCUAAACAUAUUACCGAAGCUGUGGAUU
RNAcentral lists this ribosomal RNA (1213 nucleotides) under Mammaliicoccus sciuri. RNAcentral's name for it is "Staphylococcus sciuri partial 23S ribosomal RNA". It matches the Rfam family "Bacterial large subunit ribosomal RNA", at positions 1 to 1208 of the family's 2925-position model. The record is from RNAcentral. Lineage: Bacteria; Bacillati; Bacillota; Bacilli; Caryophanales; Staphylococcaceae.